Molecule: ribosomal RNA, 253 nt
Filed under: uncultured bacterium
Lineage: Bacteria
Description: partial 16S ribosomal RNA
Rfam family: Bacterial small subunit ribosomal RNA
Source: RNAcentral
UACAGAGGGGGCAAGCGUUGUUCGGAAUUACUGGGCGUAAAGGGCGCGUAGGCGGCCUUCUAAGUCGAACGUGAAAUCCCCGGGCUCAACCCGGGAACUGCGUCCGAUACUGGAAGGCUUGAAUCCGGGAGAGGGAUGCGGAAUUCCAGGUGUAGCGGUGAAAUUCGUAGAUAUCGGGAGGAACACCAGUGGCGAAGGCGGCUUCCUGGCCUGUUCUUGACGCUGAGGCGCGAAAGCUAGGGGAGCAAACGGG